GAACCAGACUCCUACGGGAGGCAGCAGUGGGGAAUAUUGCACAAUGGGGGAAACCCUGAUGCAGCGACGCCGCGUGAGCGAUGAAGUCUUUCGGUAUGUAAAGCUCUAUCAGCAGGGAAGAAAAUGACGGUACCUGACUAAGAAGCCCCGGCUAACUACGUGCCAGCAGCCGCGGUAAUACGUAGGGAGCAAGCGUUGUCCGGAUUUACUGGGUGUAAAGGGCGUGUAGCCGGGCCGGCAAGUCGGAUGUGAAAUCCCAAGGCUCAACCUUGGAACUGCAUUUGAAACUGUUGGUCUUGAGUAUCGGAGAGGCAGGCGGAAUUCCUAGUGUAGCGGUGAAAUGCGUAGAUAUUAGGAGGAACACCAGUGGCGAAGGCGGCCUGCUGGACCGCGACUGACGUUGAGGCUCGAAAGCGUGGGGAGCGAACAGGAUUAGAUACCCGAGUAACC
Molecule: ribosomal RNA, 450 nt
Filed under: uncultured bacterium
Lineage: Bacteria
Description: bacterial SSU rRNA
Rfam family: Bacterial small subunit ribosomal RNA
Source: RNAcentral